GACUCCAUAGUGUAGUGGUUAGCACGUCUGCUUUACAUGCAGAAGGUCCUGGGUUCAAGCCCCAGUGGAACCA
RNAcentral lists this transfer RNA (73 nucleotides) under Pteropus alecto (black flying fox). It matches the Rfam family "tRNA". Rfam says of the family: Transfer RNA (tRNA) molecules are approximately 80 nucleotides in length. Their secondary structure includes four short double-helical elements and three loops (D, anti-codon, and T loops). Lineage: Eukaryota; Metazoa; Chordata; Mammalia; Chiroptera; Pteropodidae. The record is from Rfam by way of RNAcentral.